Molecule: ribosomal RNA, 1368 nt
Filed under: uncultured bacterium
Lineage: Bacteria
Description: bacterial SSU rRNA
Rfam family: Bacterial small subunit ribosomal RNA
Source: RNAcentral
GAGUUUGAUCCUGGCUCAGGACGAACGCUGGCGGCGCGCCUAACACAUGCAAGUCGAACGAGCGAGAGAGAGCUUGCUUUCUCGAGCGAGUGGCGAACGGGUGAGUAACGCGUGAGGAACCUGCCUCAAAGAGGGGGACAACAGUUGGAAACGACCGCUAAUACCGCAUAAGCCCACAGCUCGGCAUCGAGCAGAGGGAAAAGGAGCAAUCCGCUUUGAGAUGGCCUCGCGUCCGAUUAGCUGGUUGGUGAGGUAACGGCCCACCAAGGCGACGAUCGGUAGCCGGACUGAGAGGUUGAACGGCCACAUUGGGACUGAGACACGGCCCAGACUCCUACGGGAGGCAGCAGUGGGGAAUAUUGCACAAUGGGGGAAACCCUGAUGCAGCGACGCCGCGUGGAGGAAGAAGGUCUUCGGAUUGUAAACUCCUGUUGUUGAGGAAGAUAAUGACGGUACUCAACAAGGAAGUGACGGCUAACUACGUGCCAGCAGCCGCGGUAAAACGUAGGUCACAAGCGUUGUCCGGAAUUACUGGGUGUAAAGGGAGCGCAGGCGGGAAGACAAGUUGGAAGUGAAAUCUAUGGGCUCAACCCAUAAACUGCUUUCAAAACUGUUUUUCUUGAGUAGUGCAGAGGUAGGCGGAAUUCCCGGUGUAGCGGUGGAAUGCGUAGAUAUCGGGAGGAACACCAGUGGCGAAGGCGGCCUACUGGGCACCAACUGACGCUGAGGCUCGAAAGUGUGGGUAGCAAACAGGAUUAGAUACCCUGGUAGUCCACACCGUAAACGAUGAUUACUAGGUGUUGGAGGAUUGACCCCUUCAGUGCCGCAGUUAACACAAUAAGUAAUCCACCUGGGGAGUACGACCGCAAGGUUGAAACUCAAAGGAAUUGACGGGGGCCCGCACAAGCAGUGGAGUAUGUGGUUUAAUUCGACGCAACGCGAAGAACCUUACCAAGUCUUGACAUCCUGCGACGGACAUAGAAAUAUGUCUUUCCUUCGGGACGCAGAGACAGGUGGUGCAUGGUUGUCGUCAGCUCGUGUCGUGAGAUGUUGGGUUAAGUCCCGCAACGAGCGCAACCCUUACUGUCAGUUACUACGCAAGAGGACUCUGGCAGGUCUGCCGUUGACAAAACGGAGGAAGGUGGGGAUGACGUCAAAUCAUCAUGCCCUUUAUGACUUGGGCUACACACGUACUACAAUGGCGUUAAACAAAGAGAAGCAAGACCGCGAGGUGGAGCAAAACUCGGAAACAACGUCCCAGUUCGGACUGCAGGCUGCAACUCGCCUGCACGAAGUCGGAAUUGCUAGUAAUCGUGGAUCAGCAUGCCACGGUGAAUACGUUCCCGGGCCUUGUACACACCGCCCGUC